CGCUCUGGAAAGUGCGGCCAUAGUGGGUGAUAGCCCCGUACACGAAAAUCUCUUAUCAAUGAAAUCGAGUAGGACGGAGCACGAGAAACUUUGUCUGAAUAUGGGGGGACCAUCCUCCAAGGCUAAAUACUACUGACUGACCGAUAGUGAACUAGUACCGUGAGGGAAAGGCGAAAAGAACCCCGGAGAGGGGAGUGAAAUAGAUCCUGAAACCGUAUGCGUACAAGCAGUGGGAGCCUACUUUGUUAGGUGACUGCGUACCUUUUGUAUAAUGGGUCAGCGACUUAUAUUCAGUGGCGAGCUUAACCGAAUAGGGGAGGCGUAGCGAAAGCGAGUCUUAAUAGGGCGUUUAGUCGCUGGGUAUAGACCCGAAACCGGGCGAUCUAUCCAUGGGCAGGUUGAAGGUUAGGUAACACUGACUGGAGGACCGAACCGACUACCGUUGAAAAGUUAGCGGAUGACCUGUGGAUCGGAGUGAAAGGCUAAUCAAGCUCGGAGAUAGCUGGUUCUCCUCGAAAGCUAUUUAGGUAGCGCCUCAUGUAUCACUGUAGGGGGUAGAGCACUGUUUCGGCUAGGGGGUCAUCCCGACUUACCAAACCGAUGCAAACUCCGAAUACCUACAAGUGCCGAGCAUGGGAGACACACGGCGGGUGCUAACGUCCGUCGUGAAAAGGGAAACAACCCAGACCGUCAGCUAAGGUCCCAAAGUCAUGGUUAAGUGGGAAACGAUGUGGGAAGGCUUAGACAGCUAGGAGGUUGGCUUAGAAGCUGAUGCGGUAGAGGAGCGUUCUGUAAGCCUGUGAAGGUGAGUUGAGAAGCUUGCUGGAGGUAUCAGAAGUGCGAAUGCUGACAUGAGUAACGACAAUGCGAGUGAAAAACUCGCACGCCGAAAGACCAAGGUUUCCUGCGCAACGUUAAUCGACGCAGGGUUAGUCGGUCCCUAAGGCGAGGCUGAAAAGCGUAGUCGAUGGAAAACAGGUUAAUAUUCCUGUACUUCCAGUUAUUGCGAUGGAGGGACGGAGAAGGUGAUGCGGUAGAGGAGCGUUCUGUAAGCCUGUGAAGGUGAGUUGAGAAGCUUGCUGGAGGUAUCAGAAGUGCGAAUGCUGACAUGAGUAACGACAAUGCGAGUGAAAAACUCGCACGCCGAAAGACCAAGGUUUCCUGCGCAACGUUAAUCGACGCAGGGUUAGUCGGUCCCUAAGGCGAGGCUGAAAAGCGUAGUCGAUGGAAAACAGGUUAAUAUUCCUGUACUUCCAGUUAUUGCGAUGGAGGGACGGAGAAGGUUAGGCCAGCCUGGCGUUGGUUGUCCAGGUUUAAGGUGGUAGGCUGGAAUCUUAGGCAAAUCCGGGAUUCUAAGGCCGAGAGCUGAUGACGAGUUGCCAUUAGGCGACGAAGUGGUUGAUACCAUGCUUCCAAGAAAAGCUCCUAAGCUUCAGAUAACUGGGAACCGUACCCCAAACCGACACAGGAAGGACUUGCUCCGUAAGCCCAUGCCGGUCGAAGAUACCAGGCCGCUGCGACUGUUUAUUAAAAACACAGCACUCUGCAAACACGAAAGUGGACGUAUAGGGUGUGACGCCUGCCCGGUGCCGGAAGGUUAAUUGAUGGGGUUAGCGCAAGCGAAGCUCUUGAUCGAAGCCCCGGUAAACGGCGGCCGUAACUAUAACGGUCCUAAGGUAGCGAAAUUCCUUGUCGGGUAAGUUCCGACCUGCACGAAUGGCGUAACGAUGGCGGCGCUGUCUCCACCCGAGACUCAGUGAAAUUGAAAUCGCUGUGAAGAUGCAGUGUAUCCGCGGCUAGACGGAAAGACCCCGUGAACCUUUACUAUAGCUUUGCACUGGACUUUGAAUUUGCUUGUGUAGGAUAGGUGGGAGGCUUUGAAGUGGGGACGCCAGUUCUCAUGGAGCCAUCCUUGAAAUACCACCCUGGCAACUUUGAGGUUCUAACUCAGGUCCGUUAUCCGGAUCGAGGACAGUGUAUGGUGGGUAGUUUGACUGGGGCGGUCUCCUCCCAAAGAGUAACGGAGGAGUACGAAGGUGCGCUCAGACCGGUCGGAAAUCGGUCGUAGAGUAUAAAGGCAAAAGCGCGCUUGACUGCGAGACACACACGUCGAGCAGGUACGAAAGUAGGUCUUAGUGAUCCGGUGGUUCUGUAUGGAAGGGCCAUCGCUCAACGGAUAAAAGGUACUCCGGGGAUAACAGGCUGAUACCGCCCAAGAGUUCAUAUCGACGGCGGUGUUUGGCACCUCGAUGUCGGCUCAUCACAUCCUGGGGCUGAAGCCGGUCCCAAGGGUAUGGCUGUUCGCCAUUUAAAGUGGUACGCGAGCUGGGUUUAGAACGUCGUGAGACAGUUCGGUCCCUAUCUGCCGUGGACGUUUGAGAUUUGAGAGGGGCUGCUCCUAGUACGAGAGGACCGGAGUGGACGAACCUCUGGUGUUCCGGUUGUCACGCCAGUGGCAUUGCCGGGUAGCUAUGUUCGGAAGAGAUAACCGCUGAAAGCAUCUAAGCGGGAAACUUGCCUCAAGAUGAGAUCUCACUGGGAUCUUGAAUCCCCUAAAGGGCCGUCGAAGACUACGACGUUGAUAGGUUGGGUGUGUAAGCGCUGUGAGGCGUUGAGCUAACCAAUACUAAUUGCCCGUGAGGCUUGACC
RNAcentral lists this ribosomal RNA (2649 nucleotides) under Pseudomonas putida W15Oct28. RNAcentral describes it as "bacterial LSU rRNA". It matches the Rfam family "Bacterial large subunit ribosomal RNA", at positions 338 to 2925 of the family's 2925-position model. Lineage: Bacteria; Pseudomonadati; Pseudomonadota; Gammaproteobacteria; Pseudomonadales; Pseudomonadaceae. The record is from RNAcentral.